GCUAAUGGUCCAUUAUGGCACCAGCCAUGUGGAAAUAACAUCUCAGGGCUGCCUCAUCUGAUUUCAUUUUUCCCAAGACAAUAUAAUAGCCUUCCUAAAACACCAAGGUGAAUUACAGGUUCUCAAUAAAUGCUUGCUGAUUGGCUGAUGAUCACGAAGACAGUUGCUUUCUACAAGUGCUUUUGCUAAUGUCCUUGGAGCUGAGAGUCUGUUACCCAUGCCAGUGCAGAGAGGUUCAAUCAAGGUGUUUUUGUUCACCGAGGCAUCUUCGCACUGGUCAAGAACACAGAGACGGGUUCAGCAGGAACACUAUCAGAAAAGAGGCUAGCUUGUGAGCUGAGUCGGCUGCAGCAGCUCUAAA
This 361-nucleotide long non-coding RNA is filed under the name Homo sapiens (human). RNAcentral's name for it is "HSALNT0391233". Lineage: Eukaryota; Metazoa; Chordata; Mammalia; Primates; Hominidae. The record is from RNAcentral.